AUCUAGAGAUCUGAACAGCAUCAUGAAAAUUCCAAUCAUUUUAUUGAUUUGUGUUGCCCUUCGUAGGCCGCCGGGGAUAUUUAACCUAAUUUAAAAAAAUAAAUAAAUAAAUGGUUCACAUCUGAGGAAAAUA
Drosophila rhopaloa is the source of this 133-nucleotide long non-coding RNA. RefSeq lists it as uncharacterized. The record is from RefSeq and is a predicted model, not a curated record. The transcript is spliced from 2 exons. Lineage: Eukaryota; Metazoa; Arthropoda; Insecta; Diptera; Drosophilidae.